GAUGAACGCUGGCGGCGUGCUUAACACAUGCAAGUCGAACGAGGAAUGUAGACGGACACCUUCGGGCGGAAGCCUUCAUUUCGAGUGGCGGACGGGUGAGUAACGCGUGGGUAACCUGCCUCAUACAGGGGGAUAACAGUUGGAAACGACUGUUAAUACCGCAUAAGACCACAGCAUCGCAUGAUGCGGGGGUAAAAACUCCGGUGGUAUGAGAUGGACCCGCGUUCGAUUAGCCAGUUGGCGGGGUAACGGCCCACCAAAGCGACGAUCGAUAGCCGAUCUGAGAGGAUGACCGGCCACAUUGGGACUGAGACACGGCCCAAACUCCUACGGGAGGCAGCAGUGGGGAAUAUUGCACAAUGGGGGAAACCCUGAUGCAGCGACGCCGCGUGAGUGAAGAAGUACUUCGGUAUGUAAAGCUCUAUCAGCAGGGAAGAAAAUGACGGUACCUGAGUAAGAAGCCCCGGCUAACUACGUG
This 478-nucleotide ribosomal RNA is filed under the name uncultured bacterium. RNAcentral describes it as "partial 16S ribosomal RNA". It matches the Rfam family "Bacterial small subunit ribosomal RNA", at positions 28 to 507 of the family's 1533-position model. The record is from RNAcentral.